This 245-nucleotide ribosomal RNA is filed under the name uncultured Conexibacter sp. RNAcentral's name for it is "partial 16S ribosomal RNA". It matches the Rfam family "Bacterial small subunit ribosomal RNA", at positions 524 to 768 of the family's 1533-position model. Lineage: Bacteria; Bacillati; Actinomycetota; Thermoleophilia; Solirubrobacterales; Conexibacteraceae. The record is from RNAcentral.
CACGUAGGGGGCAAGCGUUGUCCGGAAUCACUGGGCGUAAAGAGCGUGUAGGCGGCUUGGUAAGUCCGCUGUGAAAGUCCAGGGCUCAACCCUGGAAAGCCAGUGGAAACUGUCAGGCUAGAGUCCGGAAGAGGCGAGUGGAAUUCCUGGUGUAGCGGUGAAACGCGCAGAUAUCAGGAGGAACACCAAUGGCGAAGGCAGCUCGCUGGGACGGUACUGACGCUGAUGCACGAAAGCGUGGGGAG